RNAcentral lists this long non-coding RNA (533 nucleotides) under Brassica napus (rape). RNAcentral describes it as "long non-coding RNA (BNAP_LNC004419)". Lineage: Eukaryota; Viridiplantae; Streptophyta; Magnoliopsida; Brassicales; Brassicaceae. The record is from RNAcentral.
UUGUGUAAGGCAAUUGGGGGUUUGGGAUUUGGGAAGAAGAGAUUGAGAUUAUAAGUUAAGGAACUUGGGGUUUGGGGUUUCGGGUUAUAAGGAUUUACAUAUCUUUCUCGUAAAAUCCUCAUAAAAAAAACAUGGGCCUUGUUAUUUCCUCAUAAAAUAACGAGGUCUUUUCGACGAAAUUUAAAAACACUUCGUCGUAAACUACUCAUAAAAAGAAAACGUGGGCCUUGUUAUUUCUUCGUAAGUUUACGUGGACUUUACAACGAAAAUUAAAAAUGCAUGUGUUUAGUUUGUUUAAUCAUGAAAAUUAAAUUAUAUAAUUUGAUUUUGCGUAAAGAAAUUGGGGGUUUUGGGUUUUAGGGAUUUACAUAUAUUCCUCGUAAAGUCCUCGUAAAAGAAAAAACACGGACCUUGCUACUUCCUCGUAAAAAGAAAAAAAAUAGGCCUUGUUAUUUUUUCGUAAAUUAGCGAGGUGUUUACGAUAAAAUUUAAAAACACUUCGUCGUAAACUACUCGUAAAAAAACACGGGCCU